GUGCUCACUUCGGCAGCACAUAUACUAAAAUUGGAAUGAUACAGAGAAGAUUAGCAUGGCCCUUGCGCAAGGAUGACAAAUGUGUUUUUGGUUUUUUGUUUUUUUUU
Molecule: small nuclear RNA, 107 nt
Organism: Saimiri boliviensis boliviensis (Bolivian squirrel monkey)
Lineage: Eukaryota; Metazoa; Chordata; Mammalia; Primates; Cebidae
Source: RefSeq, a predicted model, not a curated record